Molecule: ribosomal RNA, 531 nt
Filed under: bacterium 13BK
Lineage: Bacteria
Description: bacterial SSU rRNA
Rfam family: Bacterial small subunit ribosomal RNA
Source: RNAcentral
AUGAUCGAGCGGCGGACGGGUGAGUAACACGUAGGCAACCUACCCUUGAGAUUGGGAUAACUACCGGAAACGGUAGCUAAUACCGGAUACGACUUUCCUGCAUAAGCAGUUAAGUUAAAAGGCGGAUUUAUCUGCCGCUCAUGGAUGGGCCUGCGGUGCAUUAGCUAGUUGGUGAGAUAGUGGCUCACCAAGGCGACGAUGCAUAGCCGACCUGAGAGGGUGAUCGGCCACACUGGGACUGAGACACGGCCCAGACUCCUACGGGAGGCAGCAGUAGGGAAUCUUCCGCAAUGGACGCAAGUCUGACGGAGCAACGCCGCGUGAGUGAUGAAGGGUUUCGGCUCGUAAAACUCUGUUGUUAAGGAAGAACACUUGAGGUAGUAACUGGCCUUGAGAUGACGGUACUUAACCAGAAAGCCACGGCUAACUACGUGCCAGCAGCCGCGGUAAUACGUAGGUGGCAAGCGUUAUCCGGAAUUAUUGGGCGUAAAGCGCGCGUAGGCGGUAAAAUAAGUCUGAUGUGAAAGCCCC